GCGGUAGAGAGAAGCUUGCUUCUCUUGAGAGCGGCGGACGGGUGAGCAAUGCCUAGGAAUCUGCCUGGUAGUGGGGGAUAACGUUCGGAAACGGACGCUAAUACCGCAUACGUCCUACGGGAGAAAGCAGGGGACCUUCGGGCCUUGCGCUAUCAGAUGAGCCUAGGUCGGAUUAGCUAGUUGGUGAGGUAAUGGCUCACCAAGGCGACGAUCCGUAACUGGUCUGAGAGGAUGAUCAGUCACACUGGAACUGAGACACGGUCCAGACUCCUACGGGAGGCAGCAGUGGGGAAUAUUGGACAAUGGGCGAAAGCCUGAUCCAGCCAUGCCGCGUGUGUGAAGAAGGUCUUCGGAUUGUAAAGCACUUUAAGUUGGGAGGAAGGGUUGUAGAUUAAUACUCUGCAAUUUUGACGUUACCGACAGAAUAAGCACCGGCUAACUCUGUGCCAGCAGCCGCGGUAAUACAGAGGGUGCAAGCGUUAAUCGGAAUUACUGGGCGUAAAGCGCGCGUAGGUGGUUUGUUAAGUUGGAUGUGAAAUGCCCGGGCUCAACCUGGGAACUGCAUUCAAAACUGACUGACUAGAGUAUGGUAGAGGGUGGUGGAAUUUCCUGUGUAGCGGUGAAAUGCGUAGAUAUAGGAAGGAACACCAGUGGCGAAGGCGACCACCUGGACUAAUACUGACACUGAGGUGCGAAAGCGUGGGGAGCAAACAGGAUUAGAUACCCUGGUAGUCCACGCCGUAAACGAUGUCAACUAGCCGUUGGAAGCCUUGAGCUUUUAGUGGCGCAGCUAACGCAUUAAGUUGACCGCCUGGGGAGUAC
This 822-nucleotide ribosomal RNA is filed under the name uncultured bacterium. RNAcentral's name for it is "bacterial SSU rRNA". It matches the Rfam family "Bacterial small subunit ribosomal RNA", at positions 66 to 883 of the family's 1533-position model. The record is from RNAcentral.